Molecule: ribosomal RNA, 373 nt
Filed under: uncultured bacterium
Lineage: Bacteria
Description: bacterial SSU rRNA
Rfam family: Bacterial small subunit ribosomal RNA
Source: RNAcentral
AUACGGAGGGUGCAAGCGUUAUCCGGAUUCACUGGGUUUAAAGGGUGCGUAGGCGGGCAGAACAGUCAGUGGUGAAAUCUCCGGGCUUAACCCGGAAACUGCCGUUGAUACUAUUUGUCUUGAAUAUUGCGGAGGUAAGCGGAAUAUGUCAUGUAGCGGUGAAAUGCAUAGAUAUGACAUGGAACACCAAUUGCGAAGGCAGCUUACUACACAAUGAUUGACGCUGAUGCACGAAAGCGUGGGUAGCGAACAGGAUUAGAUACCCUGGUAGUCCACGCCCUAAACGAUGAUUACUCGACAUACGCGAUACACUGUGUGUGUCUGAGCGAAAGCAUUAAGUAAUCCACCUGGGAAGUACGACCGCAAGGUUGAA